AAAGCCUGAUCCAGCCAUGCCGCGUGUGUGAAGAAGGUCUUCGGAUUGUAAAGCACUUUAAGUUGGGAGGAAGGGCAGUAAGUUAAUACCUUGCUGUUUUGACGUUACCAACAGAAUAAGCACCGGCUAACUUCGUGCCAGCAGCCGCGGUAAUACGUAGGGGGCAAGCGUUAUCCGGAUUUACUGGGUGUAAAGGGAGCGUAGGUGGUUCGGCAAGUCAGAUGUGAAAGCCCGGGGCUCAACCCCGGGACUGCAUUUGAAACUGUCGGGCUAGAGUGCAGGAGAGGUAAGUGGAAUUCCUAGUGUAGCGGUGAAAUGCGUAGAUAUUAGGAGGAACACCAGUGGCGAAGGCGGCUUACUGGACUGUAACUGACACUGAGGCUCGAAAGCGUGGGGAGCAAACA
RNAcentral lists this ribosomal RNA (404 nucleotides) under uncultured Eubacteriales bacterium. Its description in RNAcentral is "bacterial SSU rRNA". It matches the Rfam family "Bacterial small subunit ribosomal RNA", at positions 378 to 774 of the family's 1533-position model. Lineage: Bacteria; Bacillati; Bacillota; Clostridia; Eubacteriales. The record is from RNAcentral.